AAUUUUUCCGAUGAUGUUCAACAAGGAGAUAUCUCUAUAGUUGUCACAGUCACUUCUAUCCCCUUUGUUAUUGUACAAAUUUGUUUUUUCAGACUGGUGUACAGGGUGCUUUGCCCAGGCAUAUGUGUCUAAUUUUAAUAAUGUUGGUGGAGCUGCUGAGUGCUGAUUGCCAGUGCAUAAGAAUGCUGUUACUCACUGCACCUUGACUAUUGUUGAACAUGCCGAGUUGCUGGGUGUUGGGGAUCAAGUAGCACUGUUUUGCAGGUAAAAGGGUGCAUGGCUAAGAAGGUUUGAAAACUAUUAUCAUAAUAUAAAACUCAUUACACUCAUGCCACCUACUUUUCAAUAAAGGGUAGCUUCUCCUAGCAAAUCUCCUUUCAGACUGAAAACUCAGAUAUUCAAAUACACGCUUGGCUGUUUUUCAUCUGUCAGAAGAAAGUCAUCACUCCUAUGCCUACACAGAUAGGGACCCUCAUUUUCUGAAGCCACAGGAAGUGCCUUAGAUUCUUACAUCUCCUUGUUUACUGCUAAUGAAUGGAUCCAAUUCUUGGCAUUCCUUUUAAAGGACAGUGUUCACAUUUGAAUACGGACUUUUCCUGUCUGAAAGACAAUCACAUUGUAGUUACCUUAAUAUGCAUCCUGAAAAUAGUCUACCAACUUCUUUAAGCACUACAUGCCAAAGAAAUUCUCUUAAGAGGGAUUAACAAGCCUUCACUUCUUAUACACUGCAGUCUACCCUGAGACUCAGCCUGCACUUGUUACCACUUCCUUACCACCAUCACUACAACAACUAGCCUUGGGAACCAAAGAUGACGACAGAGACAAGAGUACUGGAUUAACUGCACCGAAUACACAAAAUGUAAAUUUUCAUCGUAUUUAUAAAAGGCAAGAGUUAGAUACUUAAAAACUUGCUUUAACAUUACAGUUUUUACUUGAAUUUUAGGUUGUCUCAAACAGGUUACAAAACUUUGCCCUGUGUUGAAAUUCCACAGCUACAGUUUCUAUUUAAAAGCUUUACUUGAAAUCUAAGUCUUAAAAAGAUACUGUAUUUUUUAAGUAUACUUAUUAUACAUAAGACAAAAACUAAUUUAUACUCUGAAAGUACUCUCUUCUCCUGAGGAAUGCAUAUAUACACACAUACAUGUACAUAAGCUGUUCAUCUGGGUCACCUGUACCUUGAAGUACUUUCUUAUCUUUUUACUCCAAAGAAAUAAAAAGGCAGUAGAAAAUACUGAAAACUCCAACCAGAACUGAUACGCAGAGACCAUCAUCUUUUGAUGCUAUAUAAGAAGGGUCCUAAACAAAAGAUGGGGUCCUAUUCCAUGACAAGGCUUCCUAGGCAUUGUGGCAACAACAUUUUUUUCCAGGACAUGCUAUGUGAUAGCAACUUAUAUCAGUAUGAGGGACAAAGUUCAGGUAUCCAUUAAGUUAGUACUUCUGUUAAUCCCAUCAGGUAACUUGCCAGCUUCCGUCUUCCCCCGCCCCACACACAUUCUCCUUUAAUACCAGGUUUAACAUAUACUGCUUUGUCUUCUAAAACAUUGCAUUCUGUCCAUCCAUUACAUAAACAAACAUGAAAAAACUCGUGUAAAAAUAAGCCAAGAUAUAGCAUCAACUACUACAAAAAAAAAGUUUCACAGGUUGUUCUAUAAAUGGUCCAAAGCAUGCCACAUUAAAUCUUUUGUAGGCAGAAUUUUCUCAAAUGCAACCUCAAUGCUGCCAAGGCCCAAAGCCAUAUUUGACUUCAUACCUCUGAGGUAAGUGAAACUCAGUGGACAACUCAGGAGUCUAGUCACUCAUGUAAGCACUGGUAGCUCAAUUGCCAAAUAAAAUUAAAAAUAUUUACACAUCAUGAAGGAGACUCCAGAUACACUGGUGAAUGAAAGAACAAGAUCUCAUUUACAUGAUACAAUAUUCUAAGUUCACCAAGAAUGGUAAAUAUUUCCCAUUAUACAGCUAGCUUAAUUUAAAAGACAUACAGGUCAAUUAUCCAGAUGUCAAAGAGACAGUAAGCUUUAAUUAGUCAAUAAUUCUCAUUCAACAAAAACUGACUUCCAGACAAGCUUUAUAUUUGUGUGACCAAGUCUCAUAAUAAGAAGUUUGGAUAUAAUUUACCUAUACUAACAAGUCCAAGUUCAGUGGUAACUGAUAAUCUUACAGGUAAUUAAUUGUGCUUACAACUUAACAAGGAACACUGUCUAUAAUAUUUACACCAUACACAGCUGUUGAAGAACAGUUUUAGGUAUAUCAACAAAACUAUGGCCACACAGCAUGCGUGAGUGUUUUACUCAUCAUUUAUAAACUAACCAAUAUUGCACAGUAAAGUAGUUAGAUCAAAAUGCCAAACAAGUGAUUCAACAUGAGACCAUGAAGCUUACAUUCCUCCAAUUUAAGAU
Molecule: long non-coding RNA, 2396 nt
Organism: Gavialis gangeticus (Gharial)
Lineage: Eukaryota; Metazoa; Chordata; Crocodylia; Gavialidae
Exons: 2
Source: RefSeq, a predicted model, not a curated record